RNAcentral lists this ribosomal RNA (468 nucleotides) under uncultured bacterium. RNAcentral's name for it is "partial 16S ribosomal RNA". It matches the Rfam family "Bacterial small subunit ribosomal RNA", at positions 28 to 507 of the family's 1533-position model. The record is from RNAcentral.
GACGAACGCUGGCGGCGUGCUUAACACAUGCAAGUCGAACGGAAAGGCCCUGCUUUUGUGGGGUGCUCGUGUGGCGAACGGGUGAGUAACACGUGAGUAACCUGCCCUUGACUUUGGGAUAACUUCAGGAAACUCGGGCUAAUACCGGAUAGGAGAUACUGCUGCAUGGUGGGGGUUGGAAAGUUCCGGCGUUUGGGGAUGGACUCGCGGCUUAUCAGCUUGUUGGUGGGGUAGUGGCUUACCAAGGCUUUGACGGGUAGCCGGCCUGGGAGGGUGACCGGGGACCAUACGACUGCGGUACGGACCAGACUCCUACGGGACGCAGUAGGGGAGAGUAUUGCGCAAUGGGCCGGAGCCUGAUGCGGCAGCGCCGCGUGCGGGAUGACGUGCUACGAGUGAUGAACCAAUUUCGACUGUAACAAAGCGUGAUUGACGGUAAUGGGUAAGAAAGCACCGGCUAACUACGUG